GACGUGACAAUCCAUUGCCCCAGAAAACAAGUCCAUAGCGGAAGAAAGAAGUGGACAGGCCUUCUAGAGGCGUGAACUGCAGAGAUCCAAGACCAUGAGAAUGACUAAUCCAUAGAACAUGGGACCCAAACCCAAGAGUGACAUCAAUGAUUGACAACAAGAGAGCACACUGUUCUGAGCUGUCUUUGAGUACUCUCCUGAUUUCCUUCUCUGCUUUGACAGGAGUGGAGAUUGUAGUGAGCCGAGAUUGCAACACUGCAUUCCAGCCUGGCGACAGAGCAAGACUCCAUCUCAAACACAAAAACAAAACAAAGCAAAACAAAAAAACUGUCUCUUCUAAGGCAAAACACAUUUCUAUCUUUCCCAUCCUUUUCAACCUGAAGUCUCAGGAUUCCUGUUAA
RNAcentral lists this long non-coding RNA (401 nucleotides) under Callithrix jacchus (white-tufted-ear marmoset). RNAcentral's name for it is "lncRNA (ENSCJAG00000078913.1)". Lineage: Eukaryota; Metazoa; Chordata; Mammalia; Primates; Cebidae. The record is from RNAcentral.